UACAGAGGGGGCAAGCGUUAUUCGGAAUUAUUGGGCGUAAAGGGCGCGUAGGCGGCCUGGCAAGUGGAAGGUGAAAUCCCUCGGCUUAACCGAGGAACUGCCCUCCAAACUGCUUGGCUUGAGUCCGGGAGAGGUGAGUGGAAUUCCUAGUGUAGAGGUGAAAUUCGUAGAUAUUAGGAAGAACACCAGUGGCGAAGGCGGCUCACUGGCCCGGUACUGACGCUGAGGCGCGAAAGCGUGGGGAGCAAACAGG
This 253-nucleotide ribosomal RNA is filed under the name uncultured bacterium. RNAcentral's name for it is "partial 16S ribosomal RNA". It matches the Rfam family "Bacterial small subunit ribosomal RNA", at positions 524 to 776 of the family's 1533-position model. The record is from RNAcentral.